GGUUAAGUGAAUAAGGGCGCACGGUGGAUGCCUUGGCACUAGGAGCCGAUGAAGGACGGGACUAACACCGAUAUGCUUUGGGGAGCUGUAAGUAAGCUAUGAUCCAGAGAUUUCCGAAUGGGGGAACCCAAUAUCUUUUAUAGGAUAUUACUUUUCAGUGAAUACAUAGCUGAUUAGAGGUAGACGCAGAGAACUGAAACAUCUUAGUACCUGCAGGAAGAGAAAGAAAAUUCGAUUCCCUGAGUAGCGGCGAGCGAAACGGGAAGAGCCCAAACCAACAAGCUUGCUUGUUGGGGUUGUAGGACUCCAAUAUGGUAGUCUGUUAGUAUAGUUGAAGGAUUUGGAAAAUUCCGCUAAAGAGGGUGAAAGCCCCGUAGACGAAAUGCUAACAACACCUAGGAGGAUCCUGAGUACGGCGGAACACGAGAAAUUCCGUCGGAAUCCGCGGGGACCAUCCCGCAAGGCUAAAUACUCCCUAGUGACCGAUAGUGAACCAGUACCGUGAGGGAAAGGUGAAAAGCACCCCGGAAGGGGAGUGAAAUAGAUCCUGAAACCGUGUGCCUACAACAAGUCAAAGCUCGUUAAUGAGUGAUGGCGUGCCUUUUGUAGAAUGAACCGGCGAGUUACGAUUGCAUGCGAGGUUAAGUCGAAGAGACGGAGCCGCAGCGAAAGCGAGUCUGAAUAGGGCGAAUGAGUAUGUAGUCGUAGACCCGAAACCAUGUGAUCUACCCAUGUCCAGGUUGAAGGUGCGGUAAAACGCACUGGAGGACCGAACCCACGUACGUUGAAAAGUGCGGGGAUGAGGUGUGGGUAGCGGAGAAAUUCCAAACGAACUUGGAGAUAGCUGGUUCUCUCCGAAAUAGCUUUAGGGCUAGCCUCGGAAUUGAGAAUGAUGGAGGUAGAGCACUGUUUGGACUAGGGGCCCAUCUCGGGUUACCGAAUUCAGAUAAACUCCGAAUGCCAUUCAUUUAUAUCCGGGAGUCAGACUGCGAGUGAUAAGAUCCGUAGUCGAAAGGGAAACAGCCCAGACCACCAGCUAAGGUCCCAAAAUAUAUGUUAAGUGGAAAAGGAUGUGGGGUUGCACAGACAACUAGGAUGUUGGCUUAGAAGCAGCCACCAUUUAAAGAGUGCGUAAUAGCUCACUAGUCGAGUGACCCUGCGCCGAAAAUGUACCGGGGCUAAACAUAUUACCGAAGCUGUGGACUACACCAUUAGGUGUAGUGGUAGGAGAGCGUUCUAAGGGCGUUGAAGGUCGAUCGUGAGGACGGCUGGAGCGCUUAGAAGUGAGAAUGCCGGUAUGAGUAGCGAAAGACAGGUGAGAAUCCUGUCCACCGUAUGACUAAGGUUUCCUGGGGAAGGCUCGUCCGCCCAGGGUUAGUCGGGACCUAAGCCGAGGCCGAUAGGCGUAGGCGAUGGACAACAGGUUGAUAUUCCUGUACCAGUUGUUUUUGUUUGAGCAAUGGAGGGACGCAGUAGGCUAAGGAAUGCAUGCGAUUGGAAGUGCAUGUCCAAGCAAUGAGUCUUGAGUAGAGUUAAAUGCUUUACUCU
RNAcentral lists this ribosomal RNA (1548 nucleotides) under Enterococcus faecalis. RNAcentral's name for it is "partial 23S ribosomal RNA". It matches the Rfam family "Bacterial large subunit ribosomal RNA", at positions 1 to 1551 of the family's 2925-position model. The record is from RNAcentral. Lineage: Bacteria; Bacillati; Bacillota; Bacilli; Lactobacillales; Enterococcaceae.